Molecule: unclassified non-coding RNA, 263 nt
Filed under: plant metagenome
Description: partial contains small subunit ribosomal RNA, internal transcribed spacer 1, and 5.8S ribosomal RNA
Source: RNAcentral
UUUCCGUAGGUGAACCUGCGGAAGGAUCAUUAUGGUAUAACCGAGUUGCGAGCGCUGGUGCUGACCCGGAAGGUCGCUCACGCCCUAGUCCCCCCACACACACCCACCUACCCCCUAUGUGCACCACGGCGUGGGUCACCCUUUGGCUUGUUCGGUGGGGGGCUUACGUUUUCACACAAACUUUGUAUGCAGUGUAGAAUGUAUUUUUUGUUUUUGCGAUCACGCAAUCAAUACAACUUUCAACAACGGAUCUCUUGGCUCUG